This 253-nucleotide ribosomal RNA is filed under the name uncultured prokaryote. RNAcentral's name for it is "partial 16S ribosomal RNA". It matches the Rfam family "Bacterial small subunit ribosomal RNA", at positions 524 to 776 of the family's 1533-position model. The record is from RNAcentral.
UACGUAGGCAGCAAGCGUUGUUCGGAGUUACUGGGCGUAAAGGGUGUGUAGGCGGUUUUUUAAGUUUGGUGUGAAAUCUCCCGGCUCAACUGGGAGGGUGCGCCGAAUACUGAAAGACUAGAGUGCGGGAGAGGAAAGUGGAAUUCCUGGUGUAGCGGUGAAAUGCGUAGAUAUCUGGAGGAACACCGGUGGCGAAGGCGGCAUCCUGGACCAACACUGACGCUGAUGAGCGAAAGCCAGGGGAGCAAACGGG